GUGACGAUGGCGGAGAGGACACACCCGUUCCCAUGCCGAACACGGAAGUUAAGCUCUCCAGCGCCGAUGAUAGUCGGGGGCUCUCCCCCUGUGAAAGUAGGACGUCGCU
RNAcentral lists this ribosomal RNA (109 nucleotides) under Salisediminibacterium halotolerans. Lineage: Bacteria; Bacillati; Bacillota; Bacilli; Caryophanales; Bacillaceae. The record is from RNAcentral.